This 1043-nucleotide long non-coding RNA is filed under the name Homo sapiens (human). RNAcentral's name for it is "long non-coding RNA NONHSAT205315". The record is from RNAcentral. Lineage: Eukaryota; Metazoa; Chordata; Mammalia; Primates; Hominidae.
UUGCAAUCCCCAAGACCAUGGAUGCUGAUUUUUGCCAGAUCCUCAGGCACAUCUUACCAGCUUUGGAUUUCUCCUGGUGGAGCACUAUUUGGGUAACACACUCUUAGACUUUCCUGGAAGAAAAUGGAACAAAAUUCACACCCAGAAAAAUUUUUAGGAUCCUGGAAUUAGAUAAAAUUAGGCAGGUCUUAGAGGGCAUACUUUUCAUAACAGUUUAUGUAGCUUUGUUUGCUAGCUAACACAAAAAUAACAACAACUGUAAGACAGACAAGAAACUCAAAAAGCUCUAAUGCGUUAUUGAAGCACCGUGACUGUGAGAAUUCCUCUGCUUGGAAUGGCUUGCUUGCAGCUGUUGAAUGGUGGUGUUAAGUUGCCUGUGAUUUGCAGUAAUGUGCCACCACGUUUCAGUCCAUGGGUGCUCAGUAGUGCGAAUGAGGUGUUGGAUGCACCCAGAGGUGGUGUCGCCUGUUCAGAAUGUGAGAGGGAAGUGGGAGGGGGCAGGGCAGAGGAGGAAGCAUGGGCUGUUCCGCACAGGUAGAGGAAAGGUGUGUUUUAUGCCAGGGAGAAAGGGACAUGGGGAAAUGUGGUAUCUGUUAGCAUGAGUGGAAAAGAGCCAAGUGCAGUAAAGAAGUAUUUUUCUGAUUAAGAAAUGAUCAUCUGCAGUGAACGUUUAUGGCUAAUAAUGAUUUAGAGAAGGAAGAGCUUCAGGUCACACAGGACAUUGGAAACAGACCUUCUGAUAUUUCUUUCUAGGGCACCACAGCCUGAUUCACUCUCUAGAGCUGCUCUGAUCAAUAUGGCAGCCCCUGGCCAUAUUGAUCCUACAAACUCUGCUUUGACUAAGUUCUAGAAGAAGGGGAGUAGAGGGGGAGAGAAGAGGUUUGCUUCUGAGGGAGGGAAGCAAAUGCAGCCUGUGAAACAAUGUUCUCUCCACUCUCCCUUGAACUACUCAGCAUGUUUCCUGUUUAACCUUGGGAAUUAUUUACAAAACUGAAAAGUUUCACUUGGCUAACUGAAAGUAGUUGUUGUUUUUUUAAAAAAAG